RNAcentral lists this ribosomal RNA (497 nucleotides) under uncultured bacterium. Its description in RNAcentral is "partial 16S ribosomal RNA". It matches the Rfam family "Bacterial small subunit ribosomal RNA", at positions 28 to 507 of the family's 1533-position model. The record is from RNAcentral.
GAUGAACGCUGGCGGCGUGCCUAAUACAUGCAAGUCGAGCGAACAGAUAAGGAGCUAGCUCCUUUGACGUUAGCGGCGGACGGGUGAGUAACACGUGGGUAACCUACCUAUAAGACUGGGAUAACUUCGGGAAACCGGAGCCAAUACCGGAUAAUAUUUCGAACCGCAUGGUUCGAUAGUGGAAGAUGGUUUUGCUAUCACUUAUAGAUGGACCCGCGCCGUAUUAGCUAGUUGGUAAGGUAACGGCUUACCAAGGCGACGAUACGUAGCCGACCUGAGAGGGUGAUCGGCCACACUGGAACUGAGACACGGUCCAGACUCCUACGGGAGGCAGCAGUAGGGAAUCUUCCGCAGUGGGCGAAAGCCUGACGGAGCAACGCCGCGUGAGUGAUGAAGGUCUUCGGAUCGUAAAACUCUGUUAUUAGGGAAGAACAUACGUGUAAGUAACUGUGCACGUCUUGGCGGUACCUAAUCAGAAAGCCACGGCUAACUACGUG